GCGGACGUAGUGCACGGUGCACCGCUGUUAUACAUAAGAGCUGUGCACUUGCGUGUGAAGCAGCCAGACGGGGUUCGACUCCCCGCGUCCGCA
Non-coding RNA from Mycena epipterygia, 93 nucleotides. NCBI's taxonomy places the organism in Eukaryota, Fungi, Basidiomycota, Agaricomycetes, Agaricales, Mycenaceae. The record is from the annotation of a GenBank genome assembly.